UUGAACGCUGGCGGCAUGCUUUACACCUGCAAGUCGAACGGCAGCGCGGGCUUCGGCCUGGCGGCGAGUGGCGAACGGGUGAGUAAUACAUCGGAACGUGCCCAGUAGUGGGGGAUAGCUCGGCGAAAGCCGGAUUAAUACCGCAUACGACCUGAGGGUGAAAGCGGGGGAUCUUCGGACCUCGCGCUAUUGGAGCGGCCGAUGGCAGAUUGGCUAGUUGGUGGGGUAAAGGCCUACCAAGGCGACGAUCCGUAGCUGGUCUGAGAGGACGACCAGCCACACUGGGACUGAGACACGGCCCAGACUCCUACGGGAGGCAGCAGUGGGGAAUUUUGGACAAUGGGCGAAAGCCUGAUCCAGCAAUGCCGCGUGUGUGAUGAAGGCCUUCGGGUUGUAAAGCACUUUUGGCGGGAACGAAAAGGACUGUGCCAAUACCACGGUUCGAUGACGGUACCCGCAGAAUAAGCACCGGCUAACUACGUG
Molecule: ribosomal RNA, 483 nt
Filed under: uncultured bacterium
Lineage: Bacteria
Description: partial 16S ribosomal RNA
Rfam family: Bacterial small subunit ribosomal RNA
Source: RNAcentral